GACGAACGCUGGCGGCGUGCCUAAUACAUGCAAGUUGAGCGCUGAAGGUUGGUACUUGUACCAACUGGAUGAGCAGCGAACGGGUGAGUAACGCGUGGGGAAUCUGCCUUUGAGCGGGGGACAACAUUUGGAAACGAAUGCUAAUACCGCAUAAAAACUUUAAACACAAGUUUUAAGUUUGAAAGAUGCAAUUGCAUCACUCAAAGAUGAUCCCGCGUUGUAUUAGCUAGUUGGUGAGGUAAAGGCUCACCAAGGCGAUGAUACAUAGCCGACCUGAGAGGGUGAUCGGCCACAUUGGGACGGAGACACGGCCCAAACUCCUACGGGAGGCAGCAGUAGGGAAUCUUCGGCAAGGGACGAAAGGCUGACCGAGCAACGCCGCGUGAGUGAAGAAGGUUGUCGGAUCGUAAAACUCUGUUGGUAGAGAAGAACGUUGGUGAGAGUGGAAAGCUCAUCAAGUGACGGUAACUACCCAGAAAGGGACGGCUAACUACGUG
RNAcentral lists this ribosomal RNA (497 nucleotides) under uncultured bacterium. RNAcentral's name for it is "partial 16S ribosomal RNA". It matches the Rfam family "Bacterial small subunit ribosomal RNA", at positions 28 to 507 of the family's 1533-position model. The record is from RNAcentral.